Molecule: long non-coding RNA, 465 nt
Filed under: Bos indicus x Bos taurus (hybrid cattle)
Lineage: Eukaryota; Metazoa; Chordata; Mammalia; Artiodactyla; Bovidae
Description: lncRNA (ENSBIXG00005022443.1)
Source: RNAcentral
AUGAUCUCCAGUUGUUCACUCUUCCUGUGGUCUCAUACCCGGCCACCUGCAUUUGGUGGUGCUGCCUGCCAGGUGGCUUCUCAGGGCUUUGUUCUGGCACUGAGCCAUGAAUCUACCAAGGAGCAAACCCCUCCAGAAAACCUGUCAUUUUCACAUGGAACUUUUGAUGAUGGUGAAGACUUGAAGUGGGUUUCUACAGAAUCAGAGGUCCGGGAGUGUCAGAGUCGCCUGAACACCAGGAGGGCGUCUGGGUACCCAGGACGGCGGCAAGUCAGGACAGUGGCCACGAGCCAGACCAGCAGUAGAGGAGCCUUCUAAGUAAGUAUUUCUGAGUAACUUUGAAAAUUACAUGUCAUUUGUGUACAGUCCCCCAUUAUCCUCGCUUUUACUUGCAGCAGUUUCCUUUCUGUGGUCAACUGAGGUCCAAAAAUAUUAAAUGGAAAAUUCCGGAAGUAAAUAACUCAU